This is a long non-coding RNA of Sebastes umbrosus (honeycomb rockfish), 609 nucleotides long. RefSeq lists it as uncharacterized. The record is from RefSeq and is a predicted model, not a curated record. The transcript is spliced from 3 exons. Lineage: Eukaryota; Metazoa; Chordata; Actinopteri; Perciformes; Sebastidae.
AUCGUAAAUAUUGAACAUGUGUUUAAGAUUUACGAUUUGAAAUUGGUGUGGCAAGGAUGGACUUCCAAGCUGAUCGGGGAAUGUAAAAAACUUAACAUAGCUCACACUACAGGAAUAUCUGAUGAGAUAGACUAAGUCCCUCCAGUUCUGUAGUCGUGAAUCUCUCGGAAAAUCAUUACAAUUCGGGAACUGUAUUCGUAGCUGAAACAACUUUGAUGUCUUUAUAAGUUUUAUGUGUAGUAGAAAAUGCUGUAAAAUGAGCAGGUAUUUCAGACUUCACUGAAAUGUCAUUAGAUAAUAACUCCUAAUGACAGACGCUGUCUUCGCUGUCAGCGUUUUGCAUUUCAUAAUGGAUCUGGAAGGAAAGGUUAAGCGCGUUACCCCUGUCGAUUCUGGAUAGAUGUCUAACCAAAGGUCUUAGCAGGCCCACGGCCAUCACCUUAGCCUUUGUAAUUAUUAGGUCACUACUUGAGAAUCAGCGCACUGAAGUCUAAAUACAGUAGGAACACUAUAACACUUUUAUAGCUGAGUAUAUGGCAUAGUAGAGUCAACAAAAACGGAGAUGACUUGUGCAGUUUUCUACUCAGUUUUUAAAGUGUUAUAGUCUUC